Mya arenaria is the source of this 3708-nucleotide long non-coding RNA. RefSeq lists it as uncharacterized. The transcript has 4 exons. The record is from RefSeq and is a predicted model, not a curated record. NCBI's taxonomy places the organism in Eukaryota, Metazoa, Mollusca, Bivalvia, Myida, Myidae.
UUUAAAUUUUUCGUAAAUCCUGAAAAAUUAAAUAAUAUUUCUCUUAUUAAAGUCUUAUAUUUAGUACAUCAAAUAAACGGAUAAUAAAAACACACAAUAGGCACAUAAAUCCGCCCCGCAUUCGAUUUGUCGGAAACUGCUUCUCAUCACAAGCUAAUCAGAACAGUGUAAGUACCCUCUUUGCGCCCCUAUUAGAUACACUAUGUGUGACGUCACACAUGAGAAAAAUAUAUCGACAAUAGCAGCUUGAGCUGUAGUUAUCUAAAAUGUGAACAAUUUUAGUAGGUAUUUAAACACGUAUAAAUAAUUCAAUAAAAACGUAUAAAAACUGUCGGAAACUGCUUCUCAACCAGUAUCGAGUUGUAUAGAACGUGUUUUAGCAGACUUGUUUAUAGACAUGAUCUUCUUAAACAAGCAGACGAAGCAGAAUGACGUCACACCUUCAUGUAAUUUGUUCAAUACUUGAGACACAUAGAGACAUGGGAGAUAACACAAUUAACUAGAUAAUUUAUAUUGGAAUAUACAUUUUCCGAAAAUGUGUAAAUCGAAAGUACAGGUAUUUCAGUGAAUGAAACAUAACUUUAUUUUGUUAGCGACCAUUAACACAAUACAUACACCAAGUCAUGGACUUUGAUAAGAAAAUAUAUAGGCCAGUGUCCACUGGGGAGUUGCUACUACAGCAAUUGAAAGAACAAAGUGUCGUUUGCAACUUCACAGUGAAACAAGGACUAUUGUCCAAGCGUUACCAUGACUGUCGUGCGUGACAGUCCAUUCGUCGAGGCCAUGAAGAGGAAUAACUUCGAUGAAAAAGCCAAAGGGUUUGUAGAAAUGAAAUUAGGCUCUCCAGAGUCCAUCGACAUGGUAAUAAUGUUCUUAUACGGGCAAUUUUCCAAGUUGACCAUAGACAAUGUAUCCGCCGUGAUGCACCUUGCCGAGUUUUUGUUGAUACCGAAGUUGAAGGCGUUUUGUAUAGACUGGAUCAACAAUAAUACCAAGUUGGAUGAAGAAAGCGUAGAAAAGCUACUCCAUCUCAGCAGCAUCUUUGAUUUCGAGGUGCCAACACUGGGACAAUCAGCAAAUGUAGUGAAGAAACAGUUUUGACGCCACUUCUUUCGUUGAAUGUUAGUUUUAAAGUAAAAUUUGUUGUAAAUGAAGCCAAAUUAGUAGCCCUUUUUUCAAGAAACCCCAAAUUAUUUACGACACACAGUCAUGCACAUUGGAAAAUAUCGAUAUCAGUCUCGAUGACAAUGAUGAAGUCAGUCCCUUUAAAGACGGAUUCGCGAUUUUUGGUGAAAUGAAGACUCGUUUGAUUGUUUCAGGGACAAUUUCUCGCGUUAAAAGGCCAGUUGUAGUUUGUGGAGCUUUUCGAAAGGAAAGGAAGGUUGGUUGUACUUUCAGAGUUGUCGCAAACAAAUGGGUUCGUUUUCGUACAACAAAUAAAUACGGCGACCACUCCAUAGACAGCAAGCAGUUGGACUAUACAAUGGAUGAACUGGACAAGGUCAAUGUUAAAUAUGUAGAAUGGAAACAUAUUCCUCUCCCCGAUGUCUCAGUAGAUGAAUCAAUCAUUUGCAAUAUUCUGGAAAUAGCGAUCCCUCGCUUACAACUGAAAUGCAAUUUGAGGUGUCCGCAUUGUACACGGAUCAAAGACGAAAAUACAAUUAGAUACAAGAAACACAACGUUAUGAACGCUUUGUCAAGAGAACGUCGUAACUGUGGCCUUCCCGGUCGUUUUUACCAUGACGAAAGCAAUGGGGAUUAUACUCACAGUAUUGACUAUUAAUCAGAGGUACUUCAGUGUGCUUAACAGUUCGUGUUCUGUGCAUAAAUAUGCGAAUAUUGUGAAUUACUGAUGAGAAGAGCAUCGCUUUACGUAGUUCGUUGUGUUUGAUAUAUUAUACCUCUGCUAAAAUAAUAGGGGUAGGAAUUUUAUAUAGUAGUGCGAAAUUUGGUCGUAAUAUGUUUUGAAGGGAGGCAACUAUUGGAACGGUUGUACAAUUUGUUUUCAAAAAGAACAUAUUAAACAUAUAUUAUGUUUUCUGCCAUGUGGUUGUUUGGGUUUUUAGGAGUGACAGACUGUAAUGGUCGUUACCUAUCUAGUAUUUUGAUGCUACCGUGAUAUGUCUUAUUUCAAGCUGAUAAAGAGGUACAUACAUUUUCCAUUACAGAAUAGUUUGAUUUUCGACAAAACAAAGCAUGGUGCAUCGGUUACUCGAUGUACGUUACCGUAAAUUUUGUGUUUUCCAUUUAAGUAAGCCAAUUUUAACAUAUGUCUUUUGUGUAAUUAUUGUCUUAAAUAUAUUUAAAGCAAAAAAAACCCCACAAGCACAUUAUUUAUUCAUUUACAGUAUGGAGUGUAUCAUGUCUUUUGUUCUAAACAUGUACACAUUUCAAGCAAAACAAAGCAUAUACUAUACAUAAAAUAUUGUUUGUUACCAUACGAUGUUUGUUGCACAUAGUUUUCUGUUAUUAAGAAGGACUCCACCAACAUUUUGAACUGCGCCAUUGCAUACCAUACCCCGAUAAAAUGCAACAUGUCGAAUUUUAAUACUUAUAUUUACAUUCAUUUAAAUCUACAUUUCUUACAUUCCUACAUUGAUUAUUCAAGAGCAUUUUCUCUUUUCUAUCUCUCGUUGUUCUCAACGGUGGGUAAAUUAGAACAGCUAUCGUAACCUAAUUGUAUACGACAAUGAAUGCACAGAUAAAAUAGUUCCUUAUUUAUAUGUUUAUUUUCUAUCUUUUCAAGGUCAAGAAUAUUAUGAAUACGUAUUUUUGCAUACAAUGUGUGUUUUCGGUCCGUUAUCGUGGUGUAUUAAAACGCAAAAACCCGGGCGUUUUCAGUAAAUUCACGUGCCGUUAAUGCCCGGUUUUUUGUUUUACAUAUGCGCUUUCAGGGCCCGCAUCAUAACAAUGAAGGCUGAGCGACCUGGUUUCUGACCGAAAGUUGGUCAACGAUGCAAACUUUUGCACAAAAACAUAUUUUAGAAUAUAUAAUGUAGCUGCAUACAAAUACCAAAACAGGAAAUAAACCACAACAGUCAUAUAACUUACAUAUUUUCUGCCGAGUUGUCUUUUCCUGGCAAGCUGAUGUGUUUACCAAAUAGUUUUUUCUGCAGUUGUUUUGACUAUUAAAAGCACUAAAUUAUGUCUAAAACGACUAACUCCUCCGAACUUUUAGUUAUUUCUGUCGAUUUUAUUCAGAACAUACGACUUAUAUGGACAUGAUUCCACUAUGUCGUAUGCAAUGAACAAAGAAAUUUCAAAUAUUUUUUCUCUGAUGCUGAAGAUGCUGUACAUUUUAUCAAGAACAUGUUUACAAAAUUUUCAGGCUUAAAUUAGUUAUCAAAACAAAUAAUGGUUAAAGUAGGACUGCAUAGGUAAUUAAUUGAUUACCCAAUAGGUAUUGUGUGUAAAUAAUCCCAGUAAUCCAGUCACUUUUCAAAAAACAACACUUUCAAAACGAAUGAACACUGCAAAAAAUGGCGUCGAAACAAAAUGCAGCUGCCGAGUUAUGUUGCGGCCCGAAUCGAGCUUAAUGUAAAACUUUUUCAAUGACAUCACCCAUGACGUCAUACAAGCACCCAUUAUAGAGGUUAUUUUGAACUAACUGUUAAAUUGCAUUUUCGUGACAUUUAACAGCAUUUUUAAACACAAACUUUUCUUCAACUGUUCCAUCCAUCAUGAAAUUAUCUACAUUAAAAUCAAUCA